GACGAACGCUGGCGGCGUGCUUAACGCAUGCAAGUCGAACGAUGAUGCCGGAGCUUGCUCCAGUUGAUUAGUGGCGAACGGGUGAGUAACACGUGAGCAAUCUGCCCUUGACUCUGGGAUAACUGCGGGAAACUGUAGCUAAUACCGGAUACUUUCACCGGAAGGCAUCUUCUGGUGAUGAAAGAAUUUCGGUCAGGGAUGAGCUCGCGGCCUAUCAGCUUGUUGGUGAGGUAACGGCUCACCAAGGCGACGACGGGUAACCGGCCUGAGAGGGUGACCGGUCACACUGGGACUGAGACACGGCCCAGACUCCUACGGGAGGCAGUAGUGGGGAAUAUUGCACAAUGGGCGCAAGCCUGAUGCAGCAACGCCGCGUGAGGGAUGAAGGCCUUCGGGUUGUAAACCUCUUUUAGCAGGGAAGAAGCGAAAGUGACGGUACCUGCAGAAAAUGCACCGGCUAACUACGUGCCAGCCGCCGCAGUAA
Molecule: ribosomal RNA, 484 nt
Filed under: uncultured bacterium
Lineage: Bacteria
Description: partial 16S ribosomal RNA
Rfam family: Bacterial small subunit ribosomal RNA
Source: RNAcentral